AUUGAACGCUGGCGGAAUGCUUUACACAUGCAAGUCGAACGGCAGCACGGACUUCGGUCUGGUGGCGAGUGGCGAACGGGUGAGUAAUACAUCGGAACGUGCCCAGUCGUGGGGGAUAACGUAGCGAAAGCUACGCUAAUACCGCAUACGAUCUAAGGAUGAAAGCGGGGGAUCGCAAGACCUCGCGCGAUUGGAGCGGCCGAUGGCAGAGUAGGUAGUUGGUAGGGUAAAGGACUACCAAGCCGACGAUCUGUCGCUGGUCUGAGCGGAUGAUCAGCCGCACUGGGACUGGGAAACGGCCCAGACUCCUCCGGGAGGCAGCAGUGGGGAAUUUUGGACAAUGGGCGCAAGCCUGAUCCAGCCAUUCCGCGUGCAGGAUGAAGGCCUUCGGGUUGUAAACUGCUUUUGUACAGAACGAAAAGGCUCUGGUUAAUACCCGGGGCUCAUGACGGUACUGUAAGAAUAAGCACCGGCUAACUACGUGCCAGCCGCCGCCGUAA
RNAcentral lists this ribosomal RNA (500 nucleotides) under uncultured bacterium. Its description in RNAcentral is "partial 16S ribosomal RNA". It matches the Rfam family "Bacterial small subunit ribosomal RNA", at positions 30 to 523 of the family's 1533-position model. The record is from RNAcentral.